AAAACAUGUCUCUCUGUUAUAUAGAGAUAGGGAGUCUGGCCUGCCCAGUGACUGGAAAGUUAAACGGCUGCAGUAUACUGACUGUACAAAGGUAGCGUAAUCAUUUGCCUUUUAAUUGGGGGCUCGUAUGAAUGGCUUGACGAGGGCACAGCUGUCUUUUUGUGAAAUAUAUAGAAAUUAUUUUUUAGGUGAAAACUCCUAAGUCUUAUUGGGGGACGAGAAGACCCUAUUGAGCUUUAGUAAUAUUUUUAAUAAUGUCUUGUAAAGUUUAUAUUGAUAGUUGAAAAUGAUUCUUUAGUUGGGGCAACUGAGGGGCAGAAAAAACCCCCUUUAUGUGGGUAUGGUUGAUGAACAUUAGAUCCAGUGUAUUAUACUGAUCUAAAGAAGAAGUUACCAUAGGGAUAACAGCGUAAUUUUUUUGGAGAGCUCUUAUUGAUAAAAAAGUUUGCGACCUCGAUGUUGGACUAAGGUACCCAAAAGGUGUAGCAGCUUUUAGUGGUUAGUCUGUUCGACUAUUAAAACCUUACGUGAUCUGAGUUC
RNAcentral lists this ribosomal RNA (540 nucleotides) under Puncturella sp. AW-2002. Its description in RNAcentral is "partial 16S ribosomal RNA". It matches the Rfam family "Bacterial large subunit ribosomal RNA", at positions 1810 to 2612 of the family's 2925-position model. Lineage: Eukaryota; Metazoa; Mollusca; Gastropoda; Lepetellida; Fissurellidae. The record is from RNAcentral.